Molecule: long non-coding RNA, 1279 nt
Organism: Mercenaria mercenaria
Lineage: Eukaryota; Metazoa; Mollusca; Bivalvia; Venerida; Veneridae
Exons: 3
Source: RefSeq, a predicted model, not a curated record
UUGUUAUACAGAUAGAAACGAAGAUUUGGAAUCCAGAUGUUUACAUAAUUACAAGGCCUGCGUAUUGUGGGUACUUAAAAUAUCCUCAAGCUAAUUCGGGGGAAGAAAUAUGUAGUGUCAAAUUUAAUGAUCGUGUCUGCUCUGUAGGAUAGAUUGCAAUUAUUCGAUCACCCAAGGAAGAUUAACCUAAGAAAGCAAACAAACAAGUAUGGAUUUCCAGCCCAAUAACGGAGAUAGGUCCUAUGUAUAGAUACAUCCAAACUUUCCAGAAAUUAUCGAACAUUUCUGAUAUUGUUUGCUAAGCUAGUGCUCAUUUCCAAUGAAGGCGCUUUACAUAUGGCAACCACAGCCACACAGGGCGCAAAAUUCAUCCUCUACUAGUGCAGACACAUAACUAUCUGACCAGAGGGACAGAGUGAGAUAAAGCCCCCAGAACAAAGAAAGAGAGAGAAAUUUUUGUUUAGAUACUGACCUGUCCGGCUAACUUAGCCUAGCUCUUUGCGAAUGGACAGUCUGGUUCUUUAACGUUCCCGGUGUAUAGCACCGAUACACGCGAAGCCGUCUUUCCUGGGAAGAAUCAGUACAGGCCUCUUAGCUAGAUGACUAGCUAGGUCCAGUGACUGGACCGGGAUUCGAACCCCGGACCUCUGGAUUGACAGUCAAGCGUGUUACCACUAGACCACCAGUCCACCUACUACUCAUCUACUACUACACCUACUAGAUAUUAUGAAGCUAUUAUUAUAAUAAAUUGACAGUGAAAAUGACGAGUCAAGAAUUAACCAAAAAGACAUGUUAUCCAUGUAUGGAGUAAGAGAAAAAUAAUGUUUUAUUUCUAAUUCAUUGUUAAUUUUAGAAAAUGACAUAAUAUAUGUAUUAACAGUAUCGGAACAUGAACUAGGCCCACAAAAAAUUGUGUAAAUAAACUCUCAAUAGUACUUGUCUUUCUAUUUUUCAUAUUGUUACAUACGCAGACAAUCAUUAUAAAUGGAGUGUAAUUUAUGUUCCUUGUGUAGAGACUAUGUAAAAGCAGCAUCAACUUUCAAUUACCAUUAGGCAGUAACUCAACUUUUCGCAUUAGGAGGCGUAACUUGCAUUUUAUCAUAUCUAAAUAAAACAUUCAAUAACUGUCAAGACGUAAAUGAGUUACCGGCAAGUAGUUAAUAAGUUUACCUGCACGGUUCAUUUCAUUUAAAAUCUAUUAGGUAUAAUGUUGUAAUUUUUAUAAUAGGCAACACUGAUGUUCUGCUACUCAUGAUUUAAGCAAUUUAUAUUAUGUAUC